CCUACGGGAGGCAGCAGUGGGGAAUAUUGCACAAUGGGCGCAAGCCUGAUGCAGCCAUGCCGCGUGUGUGAAGAAGGCCUUCGGGUUGUAAAGCACUUUCAGCGGGGAGGAAGGCGUUAAGGUUAAUAACCUUGUCGAUUGACGUUACCCGCAGAAGAAGCACCGGCUAACUCCGUGCCAGCAGCCGCGGUAAUACGGAGGGUGCAAGCGUUAAUCGGAAUUACUGGGCGUAAAGCGCACGCAGGCGGUCUGUCAAGUCGGAUGUGAAAUCCCCGGGCUCAACCUGGGAACUGCAUUCGAAACUGGCAGUCUAGAGUCUUGUAGAGGGGGGUAGAAUUCCAGGUGUAGCGGUGAAAUGCGUAGAGAUCUGGAGGAAUACCGGUGGCGAAGGCGGCCCCCUGGACAAAGACUGACGCUCAGGUGCGAAAGCGUGGGGAGCAAACAGGAUUAGAUACCCUUGUAGUC
Molecule: ribosomal RNA, 465 nt
Filed under: uncultured Klebsiella sp.
Lineage: Bacteria; Pseudomonadati; Pseudomonadota; Gammaproteobacteria; Enterobacterales; Enterobacteriaceae
Description: bacterial SSU rRNA
Rfam family: Bacterial small subunit ribosomal RNA
Source: RNAcentral